Molecule: long non-coding RNA, 219 nt
Organism: Cloeon dipterum
Lineage: Eukaryota; Metazoa; Arthropoda; Insecta; Ephemeroptera; Baetidae
Exons: 3
Source: RefSeq, a predicted model, not a curated record
ACAAACUUUUUGAAACAAACGCGGGUACUAACGAGAAAACUUUACGGGACUUUUUCUCCUAUGGAAACUGGUACGACGAUUGUGGCCGCAAUUUUCUGACUUACACCUCAAAAUUGUCAAACUGGACAGCCGCCCGUGACCGUUGCUGUGACAUUGGUUUGACUCUGGCCUCAAUGGAAUCAGCGGGGAAGUUAAGUUGCUUUUCCAGAAUAGUCUCAA